RNAcentral lists this unclassified non-coding RNA (335 nucleotides) under soil metagenome. RNAcentral's name for it is "partial contains 5.8S ribosomal RNA, internal transcribed spacer 2, and large subunit ribosomal RNA". The stretch from base 1 to 120 matches the Rfam family "5.8S ribosomal RNA", at positions 35 to 154 of the family's 154-position model. The record is from RNAcentral.
GAUGAAGAACGCAGCGAAAUGCGAUAAGUAGUGUGAAUUGCAGAAUUCAGUGAAUCAUCGAAUCUUUGAACGCACAUUGCGCCCCUUGGUAUUCCAUGGGGCAUGCCUGUUCGAGCGUCAUUUGUACCUUCAAGCUCUGCUUGGUGUUGGGUGUUUGUCUCGCCUUGCGCGUAGACUCGCCUUAAAACAAUUGGCAGCCGGCGUAUUGAUUUCGGAGCGCAGUACAUCUCGUGCUUUGCACUCAUAACGACGACGUCCAAAAGUACUUUUUACACUCUUGACCUCGGAUCAGGUAGGGAUACCCGCUGAACUUAAGCAUAUCAAUAAGCGGAGGA